Molecule: ribosomal RNA, 468 nt
Filed under: uncultured bacterium
Lineage: Bacteria
Description: partial 16S ribosomal RNA
Rfam family: Bacterial small subunit ribosomal RNA
Source: RNAcentral
GAUGAACGCUGGCGGUGUGCUUAACACAUGCAAGUCGAACGAUAAGACCCUUUCGGUGCUACACUAGUGUUAACCGGGGGCGUAAGAGUAGCGUAACCUGCCCUCAUCUCUAGGAUAACGAUCGCUAACGGAUACUGAUGCUGAUUAUGGGUUACCAAGUCAUCUGCUUGGUUGGACAGUUUUUUUUUGGUUUGGGAUGGAGUCGCGGCCUAUCCGCUUGUUGUUGAGGUAGUGGCUCACUAAGGCUUUGACGGGUAGCCGGCCUGAGAGGGCGACGGGCCACAUCGGGAUUGAGAGAGGGCCCAAACUACUACGGGAGGCAGCAGUGGGGAAUAUCGCACAAUGGACGGAAGUCUGAUGCAGCAAGGCCGCGUGCGCGAUGACGGCUUUCGUGUUGUAAACCGCUUUCAAUUGUGACGAAGCUAUUUUGUGACGGUAGCAGUAGAAGAAGCACCGGCUAACUACGUG